GCGGGAGAGACAAAGAAUCUAGUUUGGAUCGUGUGGAAUGAAACAUGGCUAGGCAACGCCGGCUGCGCUGCCACCGAUGAGACUGACCUCUGACAACCUCCUACACAUACACACACUCAGCAUAUUUGGAGAAAGGAAGAACAAACGAUCAUGUCUAUGCCUGCCUGUUCAUGUGUAUUGUAAGCAAGUUUAGCUUUUUAUGGCCAUUACCAACUAGGCAACUACUAGUUUACAAUUUGUGGCUAUUCUUUUAGUCUCUUCUACCUAUUAUUCUUCCUCUUCUUCUUCUGCUGAUGCAAUAGGAAAAUAGAAAUGCCAAAGAGAAAGAGUAAAAAUCUCUCUCUUUAGAGAGAGAGUGGGCAGUGGGAAUGUAAAAGUCUGCGCGCUUGCGUCAUGUGCGUUGGGAUAAAAAAAAAAGGCUCAAAAGAACUCAACAACAACAACAACACACAGAGUAUGGAAUGGCAACCGCAGCAGGCCUCGGUCGCAGUCGGCGUAGCAGCUGGCUGAGCAGUCGACGCAGUCCGGACAACUCCGGGGAAUGAAAACCAGUCUAGAAACGCGCAGGCCGCUUUGGCUCUAUAAUUAUGCUGCUUGGUCGAGUAUGUAUGUAUGUGUGUACAUGUUUUUUGUAUAUAAAUACAUAUAUACAUACAUACUGGCUGGCUACAAAAGGGCCUUAAACUUUGUUUAAAGUCAAGGUCAGUGAUUUCUUGUUCGCCAAUUGCGAUGGUAUCGGAUGUGAAGCUGCGUGAGUCACGGCUCUUCCCAUUCUAGUCCUUAAAAGAGAGACUUAGACCAUCUAGGCCCUUAAGAUACAAUAUCUUUUAGAUAAUAAUAUUUUUAAGAUACUCUAUCUCUUCUCAGAUGUAUCUUCGAGGAAGCAAGUGAAAUACAAAACGUAUCUGUUCCAUUUUUUAGACUUUCAAUGUGAUCGAUAUCUCACACACACACACACUCUUUUUUUAGCCGUGUGUCCUUGCCGGCGGUUCAUGAACCUUCGACUUCGACUUGGAACUCCUCUGACGAACGACGUGCUUAAAGUAGCAAAAAGAUACAGCCGCAAAAAAAUUCACCACCAUGACAGAAAAAAUGAGUACAAAAUAAAAAAAAAAUUUAAAAAAAAAAACCAACAACCAAGCAGGCAUUGGUAAAGAAAAAUAAAAAAAAAAAACAAUUACGCCCAGUCUUGAAAUUAUAUUCGUAGUUUGCAAAAAUAACUUCUUCUCUAACUGGAGGGA
This is a long non-coding RNA of Drosophila ananassae, 1241 nucleotides long. RefSeq lists it as uncharacterized. The record is from RefSeq and is a predicted model, not a curated record. The transcript is spliced from 2 exons. NCBI's taxonomy places the organism in Eukaryota, Metazoa, Arthropoda, Insecta, Diptera, Drosophilidae.